UUGGAGAAGUAAUUUUUUAUUAAGUAAUAUUUUUUGAAAGAUACUUUUUAGUAAUAGUUUAUUAGUACUGUAAAGGAAUAUUUUAAAUAAAUUGAAAAAUUUUAUUUUUAUAAGUAUAUUUUAUUUAUAUUACCUUUUGUAUCAGGGCUGAUCUAAUUUUUAUAAUAUAUUUUGCCUUCUCGAUUUUAUAAGAGCUAAUAAUUUAUUUUAUUUUAUGUGUUAAAAUAAUUAAUAAUAUUUAUUAGGGGGGAAAUCUCAUUCGUUUAUAAGGGUAUCUAGUUUUUUAAGAAUUAAAUUUAAUUUAAUCCUGAAACUUACUUUUUUCUUUUUUAUUUAUUUAUUUUUUAGGUUAUAACUAGUGGGGGAUAAGCUCUGCUUUUUUACUAUAAAAUUUUAUUUUGAUAAUUUUAGUAGGCCUAAAAUCAACCAUCUUUAAAUUACGUUAUAGUUUAUUUUAUUUUUAUUUGAUUUUCUUCUUUUUAGUUUUUUAUUAAAAUAAUUUAUUUAACUUUAUUAUAAUUGUAAUAAUGAUUAAAUUAGUAUAAAUUUUUGUUUGCUAUUUAUUUUUCUUUAAUUAUAAUUAAGGAACUCGGCAAAUCUAAUUUUCGCCUGUUUAUCAAAAACAUGUCCUCAUGUUUAUAUUUGAGGUUUGGCCUGCCCGGUGAUUUUAAUUUAACGGCCGCGGUAUAUUGACCGUGCAAAGGUAGCAUAAUCAUUAGUCUUUUAAUAGGAGGCUGGAAUGAAAGGUUUAACGAAAAAUUAGCUGUCUCAAUUAUAAAUUUGAAUUUAACUUUUAAGUUAAAAGGCUUAAAUUUUUUUGUAGGACGAGAAGACCCUAUAGAGCUUUACAUUUAAUAUUUUGUUAUAUUGAUUUAGAUUAAUAUUUUUAAUUAACUUUAAAAAGUGUUUUGUUGGGGUGACAAGAAAUAUAUAUUUAACUUUUAUUAUUAUAUUUUCAUUAAUUUAUGAUUAUUGGAUCCAAAAUUUUUGAUCAUUAGAAUAAGUUACCUUAGGGAUAACAGCGUAAUCUUCCCUCAGAGUUCAAAUUUACGGGAAGGGUUGCGACCUCGAUGUUGGAUUAAGAUAACAGUUGGGUGCAGUAGCUCAAUUUGUAGGUCUGUUCGACCUUUAAAUUCUUACAUGAUCUGAGUUCAGACCGGUUUAAGCCAGGUCGGUUUCUAUCCUCAAAUUUAUUUUAGUUUUUAGUACGAAAGGACCAUUACUAUGAAAUAAUUUUUAUUAUUUGAUUUUCAUUAACUAUUUUGGCAGAAAAGUGCGAUGAAUUUAGAAUUCAUU
This 1296-nucleotide ribosomal RNA is filed under the name Paracercion v-nigrum. Its description in RNAcentral is "16S ribosomal RNA". The stretch from base 563 to 1296 matches the Rfam family "Archaeal large subunit ribosomal RNA", at positions 1423 to 2848 of the family's 2987-position model. Lineage: Eukaryota; Metazoa; Arthropoda; Insecta; Odonata; Coenagrionidae. The record is from RNAcentral.